This 387-nucleotide unclassified non-coding RNA is filed under the name Hevea brasiliensis (rubber tree). The record is from RNAcentral. Lineage: Eukaryota; Viridiplantae; Streptophyta; Magnoliopsida; Malpighiales; Euphorbiaceae.
GGAAGAAAGUAAUUUGGAAGACUUUAGUGGAGAUGGCAGCCCUGAGUCAGGGGAUUAUGUUGAAGCUGAGAUGGGAGUGUCAGAUAAUGCUGACAUUCAGUGCGAAGUUGGUCCGGUAUUGGAAGUGAUACAUGAGACGGAGGAGACGGAUGGGAUCGAUGAAGCUGAAGAGAUGUGCCAUGGGCCUGAAUUGGCUGCUGCCACGAGUUUGGAAGAGGUGGAGAAGGCUGAUCAAAUUGAAUUGGCAAAAGAUAAGCUGGUUGAACCUGAGUUGGUUAUUGAGGGACCAGUUGCUCGGGCUACUGAUGUUUCUGAUGUGGAGGAGCCUUUGAACUUUGAUUUCUACAAUUCUGCAGCGGAAUUGGAGGUUAUUGGGUUGGAGAGGCU